CACGCCUAACACAUGCAAGUCGAACGAAGUAGCAAUACUUAGUGGCAGACGGGUGAGUAACAUGUAGGUAUCUGCCCUUUGGCCUGGAAUAACACGAGGAAACUUGUGCUAAUACCGGAUAAGUCUUUACGGAGAAAGCUUUAUGCACCAUUGGAUGAGCCUGCACUUGAUUAGUUUGUUGGUGGGGUAAUAGCCUACCAAGACUGUGAUCAAUAGCUGAUUUGAGAGGAUGAUCAGCCACAUUGGGACUGAGACACGGCCCAAACUCCUACGGGAGGCAGCAGUGGGGAAUCUUGCACAAUGGAGGAAACUCUGAUGCAGCGAUGCCGCGUGAGUGAAGAAGGCCCUUGGGUUGUAAAGCUCUUUCGUCGGGGAAGAAAAUGACUGUACCCGAAUAAGAAGGUCCGGCUAACUUCGUGCCAGCAGCCGCGGUAAUACGAAGGGACCUAGCGUAGUUCGGAAUUACUGGGCUUAAAGAGUUCGUAGGUGGUUGAAAAAGUUGGUGGUGAAAUCCCAGAGCUUAACUCUGGAACUGCCAUCAAAACUUUUCAGCUAGAGUAUGAUAGAGGAAAGUAGAAUUUCUAGUGUAGAGGUGAAAUUCGUAGAUAUUAGAAAGAAUACCGAUUGCGAAGGCAGCUUUCUGGAUCAUUACUGACACUGAGGAACGAAAGCAUGGGUAGCGAAGAGGAUUAGAUACCCUCGUAGUCCAUGCCGUAAACGAUGUGUGUUAGACGUUGGAAAUUUAUUUUCAGUGUCGCAGCGAAAGCGAUAAACACACCGCCUGGGGAGUACGACC
Molecule: ribosomal RNA, 796 nt
Filed under: uncultured Pelagibacteraceae bacterium
Lineage: Bacteria; Pseudomonadati; Pseudomonadota; Alphaproteobacteria; Candidatus Pelagibacterales; Candidatus Pelagibacteraceae
Description: bacterial SSU rRNA
Rfam family: Bacterial small subunit ribosomal RNA
Source: RNAcentral